UUUUAUGGAGAGUUUGAUCCUGGCUCAGAGUGAACGCUGGCGGCGUGCCUAAUACAUGCAAGUCGAACGAUGAAGCUUCUAGCUUGCUAGAAGUGGAUUAGUGGCGCACGGGUGAGUAAGGUAUAGUUAAUCUGCCCUACACAAGAGGACAACAGUUGGAAACGACUGCUAAUACUCUAUACUCCUGCUUAACACAAGUUGAGCAGGGAAAGUUUUUCGGUGUAGGAUGAGACUAUAUAGUAUCAGCUAGUUGGUAAGGUAAUGGCUUACCAAGGCUAUGACGCUUAACUGGUCUGAGAGGAUGAUCAGUCACACUGGAACUGAGACACGGUCCAGACUCCUACGGGAGGCAGCAGUAGGGAAUAUUGCGCAAUGGGGGAAACCCUGACGCAGCAACGCCGCGUGGAGGAUGACACUUUUCGGAGCGUAAACUCCUUUUCUUAGGGAAGAAUUCUGACGGUACCUAAGGAAUAAGCACCGGCUAACU
This 487-nucleotide ribosomal RNA is filed under the name Escherichia coli. RNAcentral's name for it is "bacterial SSU rRNA". It matches the Rfam family "Bacterial small subunit ribosomal RNA", at positions 1 to 502 of the family's 1533-position model. The record is from RNAcentral. Lineage: Bacteria; Pseudomonadati; Pseudomonadota; Gammaproteobacteria; Enterobacterales; Enterobacteriaceae.